This 157-nucleotide ribosomal RNA is filed under the name Stereocaulon sorediiferum. Its description in RNAcentral is "5.8S ribosomal RNA". It matches the Rfam family "5.8S ribosomal RNA". From Rfam's summary of the family: 5.8S ribosomal RNA (5.8S rRNA) is a component of the large subunit of the eukaryotic ribosome. It is transcribed by RNA polymerase I as part of the 45S precursor that also contains 18S and 28S rRNA. The record is from RNAcentral. Lineage: Eukaryota; Fungi; Ascomycota; Lecanoromycetes; Lecanorales; Stereocaulaceae.
AAAAAUUUCAACAACGGAUCUUUGGUUCCGGCAUCGAUGAAAAACGCAGCGAAAUGCGAUAAGUAAUGUGAAUUGCAAAAUUCAGUGAAUCAUCGAAUCUUUGAACGCACAUUGCGCCCCCCGGCAUUCCGGGGGGCAUGCCUGUCCGAGCGUCAUU